UAGGGAAUCUUCCACAAUGGACGCAAGUCUGAUGGAGCAACGCCGCGUGAGUGAAGAAGGUCUUCGGAUCGUAAAACUCUGUUGUUAAAGAAGAACACGUAUGAGAGUAACUGUUCAUACGUUGACGGUAUUUAACCAGAAAGUCACGGCUAACUACGUGCCUG
Molecule: ribosomal RNA, 164 nt
Filed under: uncultured bacterium
Lineage: Bacteria
Description: partial 16S rRNA
Rfam family: Bacterial small subunit ribosomal RNA
Source: RNAcentral